This is a non-coding RNA of Anaerostipes sp. 992a, 181 nucleotides long. It matches the Rfam family "6S / SsrS RNA". From Rfam's summary of the family: E. coli 6S RNA was the first non coding RNA to be sequenced, but its function was unknown until recently. It consists of 184 nucleotides that fold into an extended hairpin structure with a large single-stranded internal bulge. The 6S RNA specifically associates with RNA polymerase holoenzyme containing the sigma70 specificity factor. The record is from Rfam. Lineage: Bacteria; Bacillati; Bacillota; Clostridia; Lachnospirales; Lachnospiraceae.
AACUUCCUGGGGUGUACGACAGCCUGCGUAUUUUGAACCUACAUUUACGUGAAACGGGAUUUCUAUAUUCCUGGUGGAAUGUCAAGCCUCCGUUGGCAGUGGAAGACAGGAAGCCUGGUGCGAUCGCCCACCUAGCAUUGGCUAGGCGUCAAAAUCGUGGGAACGGCAUUUUGGGAAGUUU